Non-coding RNA from Elaeis guineensis (African oil palm), 557 nucleotides. The record is from RefSeq and is a predicted model, not a curated record. Lineage: Eukaryota; Viridiplantae; Streptophyta; Magnoliopsida; Arecales; Arecaceae.
UUUUUGUAAUCAUGAUCUCUGUUGGUGCAGAAUUCUGUCGAUGUCGGAGAAGCUGGAGUCGAGGGGAUCACGGCCGCCGUCGGGACCUGCAAGGAAAGUCUAAACCGAAGUUGAGGGUGUUUCGGCAAGAUCCUCUGACGUUCAACAGCCUUCUUCUUUUGGGCCUGGGGGGUGGGGUGUUCUACACGGUUGCUGCUGCUGUCCUUGCAAGAUUAUGAGGGAAGAUUGAUCUGGGGUUUUCUACAUGGACAUCAGGUGGUCUUUGCAAGAGAUUAUGGAUGAUGGUGGUUGCUGUUGCUUUGCUGGCACUUCUCUAUUUUAUGGUGGUCAAGGUUGUGGCGUAUUAUAUCUUUUCAAACAGCCAUGUGAGCGAUAAUAUUGAACGAUAACUAUUUUACUGUACUGUAUCUUUCUGGUUAUUUUGUGUCUCUUGAAUUUGUCUGUGCCGAUACAUGUGAUGUUUUCCUUUUUCCUUUGGUGGUUGGGAUUCCUUUUGGAAUGCACUUUGCGUGUGCUGGUUUGCGUGUGCUGGAAUGCACUUUGCGUGUAUUGGUUUC